UAUAUAAUAUCUAUAAUAAGAUAAUAAAUAUAAUUGAAUUAAAAUACCAUGAAAAAAUGAAGAGUAAAUAGAUACUCAUGUUAAAAUUAUGGACCACAACAAGUUAAAUUUGUAUAGUUGAUCUAUUUGAUGCUUGAAUGCGAUGCGAGUACAUUCUUGUGUCUGUGUUGUGUGCUUGUGUGUAUAAAUUGUUUUGCUUUAUUGAAGCUGUUUUGGAGCUUGACAUUGGUUGCAUGAUGUACUAGCAAGUACUAUGUGUGUAUAUCUAGCUAAUAUUUUGUUGUGAACUGUUGUUGAUUUCUGUUCCCUUUGUUAGUCGUUUAUUAUGCACUCUAUUUUCAAUUGCUAUAUAUAAGUAUCCACUUGACAAAAGACACGACAAGCAGAUUCAUUUUUGUACUAACAAAGUAUGGAGAACACUGCUCUUAUUCCUGUUCCUCCAAUAUCAGUUGAUGAUGAUGAUGAAGAAAAUCCACAAAUAAUUCAGAACGAGAAUGAUAGUCGUUCAUCCAAUAGCAGGGAGCCUCUUGUCUUCACUCAGCCUCAGUUCACACAUGACUUUCAUUUGAUUUAUUGUCGUAAUCAAAGCCCUAGUGACAACUUUUUAAUGCUUGCUAUCAUUCAACUCUUUUUAUGCAGUUUAAUUGGAGUUUUGGCACUCUUUUGCAUUAUUCCAGCUUUAUACUUUGCUGUCAAAGCAAGAAAUGCUGAAAUGAAUGGUGAUAUCAUUAGAAUGUACUCAAAGCGCCAGCUUGCUCUCAUUUUUAACUUCCUUGGCUUUUUUGUUGGCUUUAUAAACAUUAUUGUAAAUAUUUAUAUCAUUAAUUUGUUAGUCUCAUUAUCCCGCUACCAGUAACAUUUAUGUUACACCUCAUGCUAAACUUACCUCAAGUUUUGUAACACAGUCUGUCAAAUUUUGUUUUUAUCAGUUAAUAAAUUUAUACUUAAAAUAUCAUGAAAAAAAUGAAGAGUAAAUAGAUAGGCAUGUUAAAAGUACAGACUACAACAAGUUAAAAUAUGUAUAGUUGAUCUAUUUGAUGGUUGCAUGCGAUGUGAGUACAUUCUUGUGUCUGUGUUGUGUGCUUGUGUGUAUAAAUUGUUUUGCUUUAUUGAAACUGUUUUGGAACUUACAUUGGUUACAUGAUAUACUAGCAAGUACUAUGUGUAUAUAUCUAGCUAAUAUUUUGUUAUGAACUGUUGUUGAUUUCUGUUCCCUUUGGCCUUUGUUAGUUGUUCAUUAUGCACUCUAUUUUCAAUUACUAUAUAUAAGCAUCUACUUAACAAAAGACGCGACAAAUAGAUUCAUUUUUGUACUAACAAAGUAUGGAGAACACUGCUCUUGUCCCUUUUCCUCCAAGUUCAGUUGAAGAAAAUCCACAAGUGAUUCAAAGAGAGAAUUAUAGUCGUUCAUCCAAUAACAGGGAUAUUGUUUUUACUCAGCCUCAGUUUGCGCAUGACUUUCAUUUGAUUUAUCGUCGUACUCAAAGUCCUAGUGACAACUUUUUUACGCUUGCUAUCAUUCAGCUCUUUUUAUGCAGUUUAAUUGGAGUUAUGGCACUCUGUUGCAUUAUUCCAGCUUUAUACUUUGCUGUCAAAGCAAGAAAUGCUGAAAUGAAUGGUGAUAUCAUUACAAUGUACUCAAAGCGCCAGCUAGCUCUCAUUUUUAAUUUCCUUGGCUCUUUUGUUGGCUUCAUAAACAUCAUCCUAAAUAUUUAUAUCAUUAAUUUGUUAGUCUCAUUAUCCCGCUACCAGUAACAUUUAUGUUACGUACACCUCAUGCUAAACUUACCUCAAGUUUUGUAACACAGUCUGUCAAAUUUUGUUUUUAUUAGUUAAUAGAUACUACCAUGAAAAAAUGAAGAGUAAAUAGAUGCACGUGUUAAAAGUACAUGCCACAACAAGUUAAAAUAUGUAUAGUUGAUCUAUUUGAUGGUUGCAUGUGAUGUGAGUACAUUCUUGUGUCUGUGUUGUGCGCUUGUUUGCUUUAUUGAAACUGUUUUGGAACUUACAUUGGUUGCAUAAUGUACUAGCAAGUACUAUGUGUAUAAUAUCUAGCUAAUAUUUUGUUGGGAACUGUUGUUGAUUUCUGUUCCCUUUGUUAGUCGUCCAUUAUGCAAUUGCUAUAUAAGUAUGCACUUGACAAAAGACGCGACAAACAGAUUUGUUUUUGUACUAACAGAGUAUGGAGAACAGUAAGUUUAGCUACAAGUUAAUAGUUUUUCAAAUGUCUACUUUGCUUCACUGCAGCUGCUCUUGUUCCUUUUCCUCCAAGUUCAGUUAAUAAUGAAGAAAAUCCACAAAUAAUUCAGAGCGAGAAUGAUAGUCAUUCAUCCAAUAGCAGGGAGAUUGUCUUUACUCAGCCUCAGUUUGCACAUGACUUUCAUUUGGUUUAUCGUCGCAAUCAAAGUCCAAGUGACAACUUUUUGAUGCUCACUAUUAUUCAGCUUUUUCUCUGUACUCCAAUUGGAUUUACUCCACUCUUUUGUACUAUUCCAGCUUUAUACUUUGUUUUCAAAGCAAGAGAUGCUGAAAUGAAUGGUGAUAUUUUUACCAUGUAUUCAAAGCGCCAGCUAGCGCUCAUUCUUAACUUCUUGGGCUUUUUUACCGUCUUCAUAAACAUCAUUAUUAUUACUUUUUACACUAAUGCAUAUUUAUUCUAAGCCAAAUUUAAAUUGAACGUAUACUUUGCACUGUCAAAUUUUGUUUUUUUAUUAGUUCAAGCUGUACUAUGGGAUUAAUUGUGAUGUAUGCGUGAUAUUCACAAAUGGGACGAGCGUUUAGACAACUUAAUGCCAAUGUUAUUGCUAAUAUCAUUGAAGUAAUGUUUUACUUUCAAGAUGAAUUGUUUACCUUUUAGUAUCAAUAUUACCCAACAACUUUUCUGAGGUAACUGAGCAAUAAACUAAACAGCAAUGAUAGUAAGGAUGAAAUUUAGUGAUUUUCUUGCAUAGGUGAUGGACCAAGCCUUGCUGAAACUUGCUUAAUUUUGAAGCUGGAGUAUUUUCAUCACAAACUGUCUCUAUAGCCUUUUCCAAGUCUUCAGUCUUCCAUUCCCCCCUUGUGUUAGCUGUUACUGUGUGAUUAUUAUCACUGUCUAGUAACUGCCUCCGUCACCAAGGUGUAUUUGCUCUUAAAUAACUCUUACUACAUUAUUUAUAUAUUGUUUUACAUAAUUCCAUCAAAUAGUGUAAUUAAUUUCCUUCGUAUUGAUAUAUAAUGUUGGCAUAUUCAAAACUUUCAGUCUGCAGUUUCAAGCUGUUGAGGUUUUUUGUAUUUUAAGAGACAUUUGAUUAUUUGGACUUAGCAAUCGACCAUAAUCAUUUGCAGUCAAAUAUAACAUGGAAUAGCUAUUGCAAACUUGCUGAAAUUGGUUCUAGCUAUUGCAGUAGGAGAGCUCUACCCCUCAGGAAAAAAUUGGGUUUCUAAUCAAAUGUUUAAAAUUUUAAUGGUACGUUGAACUUUAAAUGUCCGUAUACUAGACUACCGCUGUCCGUAAACUCUCACCGUUACUCUAAUUAUGAUGAUGUGAUCUUCCGGAAGUUCCGGUAAAAAAUUUUAGCCCUUGAUUGGCUUCAUUGCCUGCCCCUGCAGCUAUAUGGCUCAGAACAGUAAGUUCUACUUUGCUUUAAUACAGCUGCUCUUGUCCCUUUUCCUCCAAGUUUGGUUGAUGCUGAAGAAAAUCCACAAAUAAUUCAGAACGAGGUUCCAAUCAUUUCCUUCCAUUAGUUUUCCAAAUGUCUACUUUGCUUUAAUACAGCUGCUCUUGUCCCUUUUCCUCCAAGUUUGGUUGAUGCUGAAGAAAAUCCACAAAUAAUUCAGAACGAGAAUGAUAGUCCUUCAUUCAAUAGCAGGGAGCCUCUUAUCAUUCCUCAGCCUCUUGUCAUCUCUCAGCCUCAGCUCACGCGUGACUUUCAUUUGGUUUAUCGUUGCAAUCAAAGUCCAAGUGACAACUUUUUGAUGCUCACUAUUAUUCAGCUCUUUCUAUUGUCUCCAAUUGGAUUUACGCCACUCUUUUGUCUUAUUCCAGCUUUAUACUUUGUUUUUAAAGCAAGAGAUGCUGAAAUGGCUGGUGAUAUUUUUACCAUGUAUUCAAAGCGCCAGACUGCACUCAUUCUUAACUUCUUUGGCUUUUUAGCUGGCUUCGUAACCAUAGCUAUUAUUACUUUAUACUCUAUUAUAUAUUCUAACUCCACUAGAAAUUGAACAUACAUAUACUUUAAGAUUUGUAACACCGUCUGUCAAUCUUUGUUUUUUUAAUUAAUAGAUCUAUACAUAAUCUAUACAUAA
Molecule: unclassified non-coding RNA, 4287 nt
Filed under: Amphimedon queenslandica
Lineage: Eukaryota; Metazoa; Porifera; Demospongiae; Haplosclerida; Niphatidae
Description: uncharacterized LOC109592060, transcript variant X8
Source: RNAcentral